CAAUUAAUGGCCGAGUGGUAAGGCGGGGGACUGCAAAUCCUUUUUCCCCAGUUCAAAUCCGGGUGCCGC
Molecule: transfer RNA, 69 nt
Filed under: Centaurea solstitialis (yellow star-thistle)
Lineage: Eukaryota; Viridiplantae; Streptophyta; Magnoliopsida; Asterales; Asteraceae
Description: tRNA-Cys
Rfam family: tRNA (bases 7-64)
About the family: Transfer RNA (tRNA) molecules are approximately 80 nucleotides in length.
Source: RNAcentral